RNAcentral lists this ribosomal RNA (115 nucleotides) under Klebsiella electrica. The record is from RNAcentral. Lineage: Bacteria; Pseudomonadati; Pseudomonadota; Gammaproteobacteria; Enterobacterales; Enterobacteriaceae.
UGGCGACAACAGCGCGGUGGUCCCACCUGACCCCAUGCCGAACUCAGAAGUGAAACGCCGUAGCGCCGAUGGUAGUGUGGGGUCUCCCCAUGUGAGAGUAGGGAACUGCCAGGCA